GCAGUCGCGGCCGAGUGGUUAAGGCGAUGGCCUAGAAAUCCAUUGGGGUCUCCCCGCGCAGGUUCGAAUCCUCUCGACUGCG
RNAcentral lists this transfer RNA (82 nucleotides) under Ixodes scapularis (black-legged tick). It matches the Rfam family "tRNA". From Rfam's summary of the family: Transfer RNA (tRNA) molecules are approximately 80 nucleotides in length. Their secondary structure includes four short double-helical elements and three loops (D, anti-codon, and T loops). The record is from Rfam by way of RNAcentral. Lineage: Eukaryota; Metazoa; Arthropoda; Arachnida; Ixodida; Ixodidae.